GGAUCUCAAUGUAUGGGAAGGUCAUUCUCUCCAUGUACAAUGAUUUCCUGAUUGUCGUGUUCAAACUUAACUACUUGAUGCAAAGUAGAAGGUAUGGCUCUGGCCGUGUGGAUCCAUGGUCUUCCUAAAAGUAGGUUGUAGGAAGUAUCCAUGUCUAUUACUUGAAAGGUGAUCGUAAACUCAACUGGUCCAAUAACCAAAGCAAGAUCUACCUCACCAAUUGUGUCUCGUUUUGCACCAUCAAAAGCCCGAACACAUACAUUAUUGGACCGAAUCCUAUCUGGG
Molecule: long non-coding RNA, 285 nt
Filed under: Capsicum annuum
Lineage: Eukaryota; Viridiplantae; Streptophyta; Magnoliopsida; Solanales; Solanaceae
Description: long non-coding RNA (CANN_LNC014621)
Source: RNAcentral